Molecule: ribosomal RNA, 417 nt
Filed under: Fusobacteriota bacterium
Lineage: Bacteria; Fusobacteriati; Fusobacteriota
Description: Fusobacteria bacterium partial 16S ribosomal RNA
Rfam family: Bacterial small subunit ribosomal RNA
Source: RNAcentral
UGGGGAAUAUUGCACAAUGGACGGAAGUCUGAUGCAGCCACGCCGCGUGGGGGAUGAAGGCUUUCGGGUUUUAAACUCUUUUUUAUGCUGAAAAAGCCUCUUUUUAGGGUUGAGGUUAGGUGUUGAUAAAGCGCCGGCUAACUACGUGCCAGCACCCGCGGUAAUACGUAGGGCGCGAGCGUUGUCCGGAAUUAUUGGGCGUAAAGGGCUCGUAGGCGGUUUGUGGCCUCGGCUGUGAAAGACCGGGGCUUAACUCCGGGGUUGCAGUGGGUACGGGGAGACUAGAGUGCGGUAGGGGUAGCUGGAAUUCCUGGUGUAGCGGUGGAAUGCGCAGAUAUCAGGAGGAACACAGAUGGCGAAGGCAGGUUACUGGGCCGUUACUGACGCUGAGGAGCGAAAGCAUGGGGAGCGAACAGG